This 301-nucleotide ribosomal RNA is filed under the name uncultured bacterium. RNAcentral's name for it is "partial 16S ribosomal RNA". It matches the Rfam family "Bacterial small subunit ribosomal RNA", at positions 509 to 807 of the family's 1533-position model. The record is from RNAcentral.
CAGUAGCCGCGGUAAUACGGAGGGGGCUAGCGUUGUUCGGAAUUACUGGGCGUAAAGCGCACGUAGGCGGCUUUGUAAGUUAGAGGUGAAAGCCCGGAGCUCAACUCCGGAAUUGCCUUUAAGACUGCAGAGCUAGCAGGUGAGAGAGGUGAGUGGAAUUCCGAGUGUAGAGGUGAAAUUCGUAGAUAUUCGGAAGAACACCAGUGGCGAAGGCGGCUCACUGGCUCAUACUGGACGCUGAGGUGCGAAAGCGUGGGGAGCAAACAGGAUUAGAUACCCCCGUAGUCCCUGUCUCUUAUAC